RNAcentral lists this ribosomal RNA (254 nucleotides) under uncultured bacterium. Its description in RNAcentral is "partial 16S ribosomal RNA". It matches the Rfam family "Bacterial small subunit ribosomal RNA", at positions 524 to 776 of the family's 1533-position model. The record is from RNAcentral.
UACGGGGGGGGGCAAGCGUUGUUCGGAAUUACUGGGCGUAAAGGGCUCGUAGGCGGCCAACUAAGUCAGACGUGAAAUCCCCAGGCUCAACCUGGGAACUGCGUCUGAUACUGGAUGGCUUGAAUUCGGGAGAGGGAUGCAGAAUUCCAGGUGUAGCGGUGAAAUGCGUAGAUAUCUGGAGGAAUACCGGUGGCGAAGGCGGCAUCCUGGACCGACAUUGACGCUGAUGAGCGAAAGCUAGGGGAGCAAACGGG